Molecule: ribosomal RNA, 610 nt
Filed under: Marinobacter sp.
Lineage: Bacteria; Pseudomonadati; Pseudomonadota; Gammaproteobacteria; Pseudomonadales; Marinobacteraceae
Description: bacterial SSU rRNA
Rfam family: Bacterial small subunit ribosomal RNA
Source: RNAcentral
AGGCUGCGAGCUUACCAUGCAGUCGAGCGGUAACAGGGGGUGCUUGCACCCCGCUGACGAGCGGCGGACGGGUGAGUAAUGCAUAGGAAUCUGCCCAGUAGUGGGGGAUAGCCCGGGGAAACCCGGAUUAAUACCGCAUACGCCCUUUGGGGGAAAGCAGGGGAUCUUCGGACCUUGCGCUAUUGGAUGAGCCUAUGUCGGAUUAGCUAGUUGGUGGGGUAAAGGCCUACCAAGGCGACGAUCCGUAGCUGGUCUGAGAGGAUGAUCAGCCACAUCGGGACUGAGACACGGCCCGAACUCCUACGGGAGGCAGCAGUGGGGAAUAUUGGACAAUGGGGGCAACCCUGAUCCAGCCAUGCCGCGUGUGUGAAGAAGGCUUUCGGGUUGUAAAGCACUUUCAGUGAGGAGGAAAACCUUCUGGUUAAUACCCAUGAGGCUUGACGUUACUCACAGAAGAAGCACCGGCUAACUCCGUGCCAGCAGCCGCGGUAAUACGGAGGGUGCAAGCGUUAAUCGGAAUUACUGGGCGUAAAGCGCGCGUAGGUGGUUUGAUAAGCGAGAUGUGAAAGCCCCGGGCUUAACCUGGGAACGGCAUUUCGAACUGUCAGGC